UACGUAGGGACCAAGCGUUGUUCGGAUUUACUGGGCGUAAGGGCGCGUAGGCGGCGUGGUAAGUCACUUGUGAAAUCUCUGAGCUUAACUCAGAACGGCCAAGUGAUACUGCUGUGCUAGAGUGCAGAAGGGGCAAUCGGAAUUCUUGGUGUAGCGGUGAAAUGCGUAGAUAUCAAGAGGAACACCUGAGGUGAAGACGGGUUGCUGGGCUGACACUGACGCUGAUGCGCGAAAGCUAGGGGAGCAAACGGG
This 252-nucleotide ribosomal RNA is filed under the name uncultured bacterium. Its description in RNAcentral is "partial 16S ribosomal RNA". It matches the Rfam family "Bacterial small subunit ribosomal RNA", at positions 524 to 776 of the family's 1533-position model. The record is from RNAcentral.